Molecule: ribosomal RNA, 497 nt
Filed under: uncultured bacterium
Lineage: Bacteria
Description: partial 16S ribosomal RNA
Rfam family: Bacterial small subunit ribosomal RNA
Source: RNAcentral
GAUGAACGCUGGCGGCGUGCCUAGUACAUGCAAGUCGAGCGAACGGACGAGAAGCUUGCUUUUCUGAUGUUAGCGGCGGACGGGUGAGUAACACGUGGAUAACCUACCUAUAAGACUGGGAUAACUUCGGGAAACCGGAGCUAAUACCGGAUAAUAUUUUGAACCGCAUGGUUCAAAAGUGAAAGACGGUCUUGCUGUCACUUAUAGAUGGAUCCGCGCUGCAUUAGCUAGUUGGUAAGGUAACGGCUUACCAAGGCAACGAUGCAUAGCCGACCUGAGAGGGUGAUCGGCCACACUGGAACUGAGACACGGUCCAGAAUCCUACGGGAGGCAGCAGUAGGGAAUCUUCCGCAAUGGGCGAAAGCCUGACGGAGCAACGCCGCGUGAGUGAUGAAGGUAUUCGGAUCGUAAAACUCUGUUAUUAGGGAAGAACAUAUGUGUAAGUAAAUGUGCACAUCUUGACGGUACCUAAUCAGAAAGACAAGGCUAACUACGUG